AUGACAACCUUCCAAAAGCACCGAGAGUUCGUGGCAGAGCCCAUGGGGGAAGAGCCAGUGGGGAGCCUGGCCGGGUGAAGUCCUGGGCAAGAAGCCGGAGGAAAGGGGCUUUGACAAAGCCUAUGUUGUCCUUGGCCAGUUUCUGGUGCUGAAGAAAACUGAAGACCUCUUCCAGGAAUGGCUGAAGGACACUUGUGGUGCCAACGCCAAGCAAUCCCAGAACUGCUUCUGAUGCCUUUAAGAGUGGUAGGACAACUUCUUGU
RNAcentral lists this long non-coding RNA (263 nucleotides) under Homo sapiens (human). RNAcentral describes it as "non-protein coding lnc-RAD51B-3:1". The record is from RNAcentral. Lineage: Eukaryota; Metazoa; Chordata; Mammalia; Primates; Hominidae.